Molecule: long non-coding RNA, 1956 nt
Organism: Microtus ochrogaster (prairie vole)
Lineage: Eukaryota; Metazoa; Chordata; Mammalia; Rodentia; Cricetidae
Exons: 3
Source: RefSeq, a predicted model, not a curated record
GCGGGGCCGGCUCGGCCAGGACAAACAGCUGGCGGGUGUCAGGGACCGCCUUGGCGCCGCGCGCCCCGGCGCACCGUGCCCGGCUCUCGCCACGACUUCACCUGGGACUCCAGGAGGAACUGCGCUGGCAGCGCGCGGCAGCCGUGGCAUCUGCUGAGGGGUGGGUGGCCGUGCCCGAGGAAGUGAACUUAUUUUGUUCCUUCACAAAAGACUGGACCAGGCGGUGCCUUCCUCGCGAGGACACCUCCUCGGGCGCCUUGUGUGCACCGGGCAGCACCUCUGGCCCCGGGCGGUGAGCGUUUCGCAGAAAAUGCACCGCCCCGAGUGUCUUAUUGCUGUGAUGAAAUGGAAAUUUAAAUAAAAGGUCGAACACGUGCGUUCACUGGGAAGUAUUGACAUGGGUGUUACAUCACCAGCAGCCAAUCAGAUGACUCCAGUCGUGUUUAUACUUCUACAACCACCUUGAUCUUCCAGGAGGCAGGCGGAUCUCCGAGUUUCGCGUCAGCCAAGGAAUUAAACAGGGCCCUGCUAUCUAGCCCAGCCUGAUCGUGAACAGCAGUUCUCCUACCUCAGUAUCCCUAGUGCUGGAAUUGAACGUAUACACCAUCAUGCCCCACAAGAUUAAUCUUAAAAUUCUUUUGUUCAAGCUUAUUUCAGGCUUUUAUUUCCUUUUUCUUUUCCUUUUUUGAUUUUUUUUAUUUAUUUAUUUAAAGACAGGGUCUCUAGACUCUGGCUGUCACUAGACCGGGGUGGCCACCAACCCACAGAGAUUCCCCUGCCUCGAGCCUCCUAAAGUUUUCAGGAUGCUGGAGGCUGGAUGGACGGCUGUUCUUCCGAGGAACUGGCUGGCUCCUGGAGCUCCAGCUACUGGGAUGUGACAGCUCAUCCGUCCCCAGGCACCAGGCAGCCCAUGGUGCACAGAUAUACAUGCAGGCGAUACACAAAUGCAUAUAAUUUUUUUUAAAAUUUAAAGCUAUGUGUUAACAAUUCUCCAAAGUGUUAUAAAUUACUGUUUGCCAAUAGGGGUUUUUAUUUUUGUUUUUGUUUUGUGAGCCAGCUUUCUCUGUAACCUGGCUGGCCUUGACUUGGGUCAUGCCUCGACCUCCAUGGUUUUGUCACCAUGCCCAGCUACCUAGGUGGAGUUUUGGGUUAUUUUGUUUAGAGGUCUCACUUCAUACCUCUGGUUCCCUAGAACUCAGUGUGUAGCUCAGGCUGCCUUCUAACUCAGGCAGUCCCGUCUCACUUAAGUGGCGGAUUCAAGGUGAGAGCCACUGUGCCCAGUUGCCUUAACGUUUUUAAUUGAACUAAACACAAGCAUGAACUUUGAGAUUUGUGUUGGUGCUGACUUUUCAAAGCCACUUUGACUUAACUUACCUUAAUUUUAGGACCCGAAGUACUGCAGUUUUGUAUAUGAAAUGAAAUUGGUUAAUUCCAGUGUGAGCUUGUGUUUUUUUGCUUGAGUUCGUCUAUCACCUGUAAGGAACAACAUAAUUUCAGUGUGAAGACUGGCAGGACUGCAAGUUGCACAGAAAGCCAUGGGGCUUGAGUUAUCUUCCCAAAUGAGCAUCUCAUCACCAACAUACAUUGUCAUUGUUCGCCAGAUGCUGUAGCCACUUACUCUGAUACCGUUGGUGAGCUCUGGUUGUUGAUGUUAAGAGAGCCUGCACCUACCUUUACCUUGGAGUACGAAGAGAAAUUUACCUGCUGUAGCUGCUGCAGUAUAGGAAAAUGUAACAACAUGCUUGGUUUCCCAUGCAUUUUUUUAAAUUCUAGGCAUUUUAGAAAUAAGUACAUAAUUAUAUUUUAACCACACAGCCUCUCCCACUUGAAAAUUAGUUAUCAGAUUAAGAUGUUGAGAAAUGUCGUCUGUAUGUCUGUUUUAUUCCAACACUAAUAAAUCUUACUUCAUCUCAAGCUUGUAUCCCUAGCUAAUAUAUAAUUACUUUAUCAAGUUAU